This 295-nucleotide signal recognition particle RNA is filed under the name Phascolarctos cinereus (koala). Its description in RNAcentral is "Metazoan signal recognition particle RNA (ENSPCIG00000017892.2)". It matches the Rfam family "Metazoan signal recognition particle RNA". Rfam says of the family: The signal recognition particle (SRP) is a universally conserved ribonucleoprotein. It is involved in the co-translational targeting of proteins to membranes. The eukaryotic SRP consists of a 300-nucleotide 7S RNA and six proteins: SRPs 72, 68, 54, 19, 14, and 9. The record is from RNAcentral. Lineage: Eukaryota; Metazoa; Chordata; Mammalia; Diprotodontia; Phascolarctidae.
ACUGGGCAUGGUGCCACAUACCUGAAAUCCCAGGUACUAGAGAGAGUGGGGGAGGUGGGUUGUUUGAACUCGGGAGUUCUGAGCUGCAGUGGGCUGUGUGAUCUGAUAUCUGAAUUAAAUUCAGAAUUAUUAUGAUGAUGCCAUAGGAGUGGGGGACCACCAGGUUGUCUAAGGAGGAGCAAACCUCAUGCCCGUUGGAAGUGGAGGGGGUAAAAACUAUCAUACUGUUUAGUAGUGAGAUUGGGUCUGUUAGUAACCUCUGCAUUUCUAGCCUUGUCAGAGUUCUUUCUUUCUU